CCUACGGGGGGCUGCAGUGGGGAAUAUUGGACAAUGGGCGCAAGCCUGAUCCAGCAAUGCCGCGUGUGUGAAGAAGGCCUGCGGGUUGUAAAGCACUUUCAGUGGGGAGGAAGGCCUCGAUAUUAAUACUAUUGAGGAUUGACGUUACCCACAGAAGAAGCACCGGCUAACUCUGUGCCAGCAGCCGCGGUAAUACAGAGGGUGCAAGCGUUAAGUGGAAUUACCGGGCGUAAAGGGUGAGGACAUGGUUGGAAGCCCCGGGCUCAACCUGGAAAUUGCAUUUGAUACUGAGUAACUUGAGUAUGGUAGAGGGAAGUGGAAUUUCCAGUGUAGCGGUGAAAUGCGUAGAUAUUGGAAGGAACAUCAGUGGCGAAGGCGACUUCCUGGACCAUUACUGACACUGAGGCACGAAAGCGUGGGGAGCGAACAGGAUUAGAUACCCUUGUAGUC
RNAcentral lists this ribosomal RNA (450 nucleotides) under uncultured bacterium. Its description in RNAcentral is "partial 16S ribosomal RNA". It matches the Rfam family "Bacterial small subunit ribosomal RNA", at positions 338 to 795 of the family's 1533-position model. The record is from RNAcentral.